Molecule: long non-coding RNA, 355 nt
Filed under: Anser brachyrhynchus (Pink-footed goose)
Lineage: Eukaryota; Metazoa; Chordata; Aves; Anseriformes; Anatidae
Description: lncRNA (ENSABRG00000012890.1)
Source: RNAcentral
UUCAGCCAGGAGAUGUCUUUCUUUCCUGGAAAAUGGCACAACCUGAUAACAGGUUAAUCUCCUUGAUUGGAAACCUUUGGGAUUCACUUCCUAGAGAGCUCCCAGUGGCAAUCAUUAGAAAAGUAAAAACUACACCUAAAUCUUCUGAAAGUCUACAUGAAGGAGGAUCAUGCCCUAAAAUUUGCACGUCAGACUGCUGUAUAAAAGAGUGAACAAGCUGGGAUCAAGUUUUAAAUCUCCAGUAUCUGUGACAAACCCAAAUAUUUGACUUCCAUUCCUUGUUUCCACUGCAGAGGUAUUCCUAAAACCUUUAUAAUAAUAGCAUUAUGGUCACAUCAAAUAAUCUUUAAACUUU